AAACAUUAGUGGGUUAAGUUGUGUAAACGUCACUGCUUGAUGAGCGAGCGGGUUCUAUGAAAUGGAGACCGACCUCGGUGCUGUGUAUAGUGGGAUGGCAGCCGCCCUAGAGAAAGUAACAAAUGAAGCAGCUAUUUUGGCUGAGCAUCAAAAACAAGCACAAGAACACAAUGUAGUCCUAAAAAAAUUAAAUACAAGUUUUAAUCAGGUUCAGUCAAGGCUUGAACGUGUGGCAGCUGUGAAACCCAGUUUCAGCAAAUUGCACUUAUAAAGAAAUAUUACUAAUGUACUGGUGUGACUUCAUCCUAUAUUUAAAAAUAAAACAUUUUAUUCUGGAGAUGGCAAAUAUUUUUGUAACGGUUUAUGCUAUUAGACCAUUAAACUGACAUUUCAACAAUGCAUACAA
This is a long non-coding RNA of Bombina bombina (fire-bellied toad), 406 nucleotides long. RefSeq lists it as uncharacterized. NCBI's taxonomy places the organism in Eukaryota, Metazoa, Chordata, Amphibia, Anura, Bombinatoridae. The record is from RefSeq and is a predicted model, not a curated record. The transcript has 3 exons.